Molecule: long non-coding RNA, 829 nt
Organism: Pectinophora gossypiella (pink bollworm)
Lineage: Eukaryota; Metazoa; Arthropoda; Insecta; Lepidoptera; Gelechiidae
Exons: 2
Source: RefSeq, a predicted model, not a curated record
AUUUUUCACGCACGGUACCUACCUACCAGUUAUUAAAACGUUCCUAACUUAUUAACAAUAAAAACUCUACUCUUGCCUUACCUUAAUUGUUAUUCCUUCGGAUGAAGUACCCUAGAACAUGUCACGUCACGUAGGUAUGCAACAUCGCGUUUCCUCCGCGGUAGGUAGGUAUCACACGCACUCACAAACACAACACCUUGCUCUUUAAUAAACAUCAACAAUCUUCCAUACUUUUGCGCAGUAAAUGGUCUAUGAUCUAUCAUCAUAGUCGACACUACUCAUUUACAGAAUGAAACAAACACUCACAAACACGAAAAAAAUAUCCUCGAAAAACAUCACGCGAUUCGGGUCAAGCUUAGUAUUCGACUGAGCGGAAGCGCGCGGCGGCGGCGUUAGCGCAAAGCAUCAAAGGCGCCGACUAAGGGCGCCGACGACGCACCGGCCGCGGCCGAGUCGAGCCGACGACUAGAGAGAGAGAGAGAAGUAUGUUUAUGGUGCAAGUGACAGAGAAAGAAAUAGUAUCUGUUCGUAUGCCUAGUUUAUUGGCGAGCGUUGCCCUUGACCCGUGCGCCGGCUAUUCACCUGCGCAUAGCUGAAGUUGUAGAUACGUUAUUAUUAUUAUUGAUGACAUUGAUAAAAUUUAAUAAUUAGUAAUUUUUAUUUGUUUAUUUUAAAUGUGCGUUCUAUGCAGCUUAAAACACAAUAUGGGACUGAAAAAAAACUAUUUUUUUUAUGAAUUUGGCGACAGGAAACUUCACUUGAUACCUAUCAACUCAAAGAAAUACCUAGUAUCUGUUCGUAAUGCCUACUUUAUUGGCGCGCGUUGCGU